RNAcentral lists this ribosomal RNA (484 nucleotides) under uncultured bacterium. RNAcentral's name for it is "partial 16S ribosomal RNA". It matches the Rfam family "Bacterial small subunit ribosomal RNA", at positions 28 to 507 of the family's 1533-position model. The record is from RNAcentral.
GAUUAACGCUAGCGGCAGGCAUAAUACAUGCAAGUUGAACGGCAGCACAGGUAGCAAUACUGGGUGGCGAGUGGCGCACGGGUGCGUAACACGUAUGCAACCUACCCUAUACAGGCGAAUAACCUUUAGAAGUGAGGGCUAAUACGCCGUAGUAUUACAGAUGGGCAUCUAUUUGUAAUUAAAGAUUUAUCGGUAUAGGAUGGGCAUGCGUCCCAUUAGUUAGUUGGUAAGGUAACGGCUUACCAAGACGAUGAUGGGUAGGGGAUCUGAGAGGACUUACCCCCACACUGGUACUGAGACACGGACCAGACUCCUACGGGAGGCAGCAGUAAGGAAUAUUGGGCAAUGGCCGCGAGGCUGACCCAGCCAUGCCGCGUGCAGGAAGACGGCCUUAUGGGUUGUAAACUGCUUUUAUACGGGAAUAAUAGAGUGUACGCGUACAUUUAUGCAAGUAUCGUAUGAAUAAGCAUCGGCUAACUCCGUG